This 64-nucleotide transfer RNA is filed under the name Metacrangonyx longicaudus. Its description in RNAcentral is "transfer RNA Alanine". Lineage: Eukaryota; Metazoa; Arthropoda; Malacostraca; Amphipoda; Metacrangonyctidae. The record is from RNAcentral.
GGAUUUUGAGUUGACAACAAUUUAUAAUUUGCAUUUAUAAGAAAUAUUACAUAUAUAAAAUCUU